UGGCGAACGGGUGAGUAACGCGUGAGGAACCUGCCUCAAAGAGGGGGACAACAGUUGGAAACGACUGCUAAUACCGCAUAAGCCCACGGGUCGGCAUCGACCUGAGGGAAAAGGAGCAAUCCGCUUUGAGAUGGCCUCGCGUCCGAUUAGCUAGUUGGUGAGGUAACGGCCCACCAAGGCGACGAUCGGUAGCCGGACUGAGAGGUUGACCGGCCACAUUGGGACUGAGACACGGCCCAG
This 240-nucleotide ribosomal RNA is filed under the name uncultured bacterium. Its description in RNAcentral is "partial 16S ribosomal RNA". It matches the Rfam family "Bacterial small subunit ribosomal RNA", at positions 96 to 334 of the family's 1533-position model. The record is from RNAcentral.